Molecule: ribosomal RNA, 227 nt
Filed under: Gentiana tetrasticha
Lineage: Eukaryota; Viridiplantae; Streptophyta; Magnoliopsida; Gentianales; Gentianaceae
Source: RNAcentral
AUCGCGUCGCCCCCCAACACCGUGCAUGAAACAUUGCCGGAAGUCGAGGGGCGGAUAUUGGCUUCCCGUGCUUCGUUGCGGCUGGCCUAAAUGCAAGUGGGUUGCGACGGACACGACGACAAGUGGUGGUUGAUUACCUCAACUCAGUUUGUCGCUCGUUGACCCGUCGGAUGAGGAGACUUCCUCGACCCAUAGAAUGACGUCGUCACGACGCCUGCCACGACCGC